GACGAACGCUGGCGGCGUGCUUAACACAUGCAAGUCGAACGGAAAGGCCCUGCUUUUGUGGGGUGCUCGAGUGGCGAACGGGUGAGUAACACGUGAGUAACCUGCCCUUGACUUUGGGAUAACUUCAGGAAACUGGGGCUAAUACCGGAUAGGAGCUCCUGCUGCAUGGUGGGGGUUGGAAAGUUUCGGCGGUUGGGGAUGGACUCGCGGCUUAUCAGCUUGUUGGUGGGGUAGUGGCUUACCAAGGCUUUGACGGGUAGCCGGCCUGAGAGGGUGACCGGCCACAUUGGGACUGAGAGACGGCCCAGACUCCUACGGGAGGCAGCAGUGGGGAAUAUUGCACAAUGGGCGGAAGCCUGAUGCAGCAACGCCGCGUGCGGGAUGACGGCCUUCGGGUUGUAAACCGCUUUCGCCUGUGACGAAGCGUGAGUGACGGUAAUGGGUAAAGAAGUACCGGCUAACUACGUG
RNAcentral lists this ribosomal RNA (468 nucleotides) under uncultured bacterium. Its description in RNAcentral is "partial 16S ribosomal RNA". It matches the Rfam family "Bacterial small subunit ribosomal RNA", at positions 28 to 507 of the family's 1533-position model. The record is from RNAcentral.